ACGAUCGGGAGCCUCGAGCGGCGAGCCUCGCCCGAGCGUCGGAUGCC
Molecule: small RNA, 47 nt
Filed under: Sinorhizobium meliloti 2011
Lineage: Bacteria; Pseudomonadati; Pseudomonadota; Alphaproteobacteria; Hyphomicrobiales; Rhizobiaceae
Description: putative ncRNA
Source: RNAcentral